GACAAUUGUUGGAUUGAAGUAUGAAAUGUAAGGUUAUAUGUAUUAGCACGAAAUGUUCCUAAUAUCCUACUAAAUAAUUCGAAUAAAGUUGUUCAAGAUUUGUUUCCUUUCAUUACGUAUUUGCUGAAUAAAAGUUUGAGGUAAUUGGCUUUGAACCUUUAUUUCUAAAGAUAUAUUAAGUACAUAUAACCUUACAUGUAUAACCUUCACACUUCAAUCCAACAAUUGUCAAAUUUUUUUAUUUUACUUUAAACAAUAUGUUUCUUCAUGUGUUUGCAAUCUUACAGCAAAGGUAGAAAAGUAGAACUGGUAAAAAUAACAGAGGCAAUCAUAUCAAGAGCAAAAAUGUCAAAUGUAGAAUAUUUCAGUAAAUUGUAUUCGUGUCUUUUGGCACACAUUUGGAACCGAACCCAUCAAACUAUGGAUAGGGCAAGGAACAUUAUUGUCUUCAACGAUAGACUGAACUAAGAAAUCAUGUUUCCUUAGGCAAAUAUAACAUGGGUUAAAUUAGACCAUGCUGACCAGUUAAUUAAUUUAGUGGCUUACCAGAAGCUAUGGGAAGUGAAAUACAAGGACACAAACUUACAAUGGUACCACUAAGAAUUUGGGGUAGAAUAAUAUCCCUUGUGAUGAAAGAUGAACUAGAAGAUGAUACGCCAUUAUUAAGUACUCUCAUUCAAGUAAAUAAUAAUAAACACACUAAUCAAUUAGAAAGCUCGUGUAUUAUUUACAAAAUAAAUAUCUCAGUUCUUGACAUA
Molecule: long non-coding RNA, 758 nt
Organism: Hylaeus volcanicus
Lineage: Eukaryota; Metazoa; Arthropoda; Insecta; Hymenoptera; Colletidae
Exons: 4
Source: RefSeq, a predicted model, not a curated record